This 26-nucleotide unclassified non-coding RNA is filed under the name Mus musculus (house mouse). RNAcentral's name for it is "oocyte_clustered_small_RNA4577". The record is from RNAcentral. Lineage: Eukaryota; Metazoa; Chordata; Mammalia; Rodentia; Muridae.
UAGUACUUCCUUUAAGGACACCCUGC